This 2212-nucleotide long non-coding RNA is filed under the name Manihot esculenta (cassava). RNAcentral describes it as "long non-coding RNA (MESC_LNC006762)". The record is from RNAcentral. Lineage: Eukaryota; Viridiplantae; Streptophyta; Magnoliopsida; Malpighiales; Euphorbiaceae.
AGAUAAAAUAUUCUGUCUUCUUCCAAAAUUUGCAAACCCUAUUUAUCAAUCCAUGGCUAGAGGGAAGCAAGUAUCUUAUGGUGAUCAUAAAACCGCUAGGAAAAUUUAUCAUGAAGCUCAAUCUGAGAGUACCGCAUACUUCUCUGCUUCUGAGAGUGAAGAUGUCUCCGAUUCGUCAGAAGUAGAGGUCGCCCAUGUUCAGAAACACAAUGGAAAAGGCUUGGUUGCAGGUAAGUCUUUUGAAUCAAAUAAGAAGAUAAUAUAUUCAGUUGCUGCUCAUAGUCUUAUGUUAGAUAGGGGAUUUUCAGACCAAGGUACAUAAAAUGGGAUGUCUUUAAAGACUUGCCAUUUGAAAUUGAGGAAUUAUAUAUCGCUCAGAAGUGGAAAAUGUUUUCUGAUAUAUAUAGGUGAUAUUAUCUUGAUUUAGUUGUUGAAUUUUAUAGAAAUAUACGAGUGGUUGACGAGCAAGAGUCCUUUAUCACAACCAUUCAAGGAAAAAUGGUCACAAUUACUAUUGAUGAUUUAGCCCAAGCUUUUGGAUUACCAAAUGAGGGAAAAUCGAGUUGGCAGUAGGAAUGAAGUGAAAAAAAGGCUUUUGGAUUACCAAAUGAGGGAAAUCGAGUUGGAAGUAGGAAUGAAGUGAAAAAAAAUGUCUGCUUUAUAAUGAAAAGGCUUUUAAAAAGUCCAUAUUCCCUGAAGGCACAUCUAAAAAUGAAAUUGGAAGUAGUUUACUGCCCCAACAAUACAAGAUUCUACAGAAAAUUGUUAUAUAUUUCUUGUAUCCAAGGACUGGCAGUAAGGGAUACAUGAAUGAGAUAGAUUUAUGCAUCAUGGGGCACAUGGUCAACAAAGUCCCAUACAAUUUGUCAUACUUGAUGUUCAAGAUUAUUGUUAAGGAUUCCAAGUGCCGAGAAUUGUCUUAUUCUAUGCAGUUAACUUUAUUUUCUCAGAAAUUAAAAAUUAAAUUGGUGAAAGAAAUAGGGUAUUGUAAUGGAAUUCCAAUUAAGGAGAUUUUUAGUUCAACUGCCAUGAUAAAGAGGAGAUGCAAUGUUAUGAUAGACAAAAAAGUAGAUGGAAUUGAAAUAGAUGGUGAAGGUAAAUCUGAAGCUGAUGGUGAUAAUGAAAAUAGAAAAAGAACAAAGAGAGAUGGUGAAAUUGGUGUAAGUUCAGACAAUGUGAUUAUUGCUUUAGCUAAGGAAAAUUUGGAGAAGAUGAAGGAGAUCAAAGAGGCUGCAUCUUUCUUGAAAAAUUCUCAAGAUUUGCAGCAAACUAUUAUAAACAGCCAAAGUGCAAAUAUUGCUAUGUUAGUGAAUUGAAUGGAUAGAAUGGUAUGGUUUAUGAAGAAGAUUUUUCUUAAGUUAUUUAGAGAUACAUUUGUAAUAUUUGGUGAUUUUGGAGAUUACCAAUGUGGAACUAUUCCUGCAGCUGGAGGUAGUGGUUACAGUACUUUUACUGUACCAGUUGAUAAGAAAAAAUAAUGAAGAAGAAGAACAUGCACAAACUAGAAAAGAAGUUUCUUCAGAAAUUUCUUCAUCACAUUCAAGCAAUAGCAGUAGCGAGAAAAAUUCUUCAUAAAAUUCAAGCAGUGGCAAUAGUAAGAAAUCUAAUGGCAGUAGCAAGAAAUUCAGUGGCAGUAGCAAGAAAUCCAGUGGUAGCAGUGACAAAGCGAGUGAUGGUAGUGACAAAAGUCAACAUCAGCAAGAACGAGGUCAUAUUGAGUGCAACUCUAGUUCACCUAAUGAGCAGUCACAUGAUCAGUCCCUGAAAAAGUUAAAAUUGCUCAGCUAAUUACAUUCUACAUUCUGAUUCACUAACUUGUGCUUUACAUUAUGGACAGAAAAGAACCAAAUCUCAAGCCAGGAAAUCUGGUUUUAAUGGCUUACCAAUAUUUCAUUUCACUGUACCUGAAAAUGCCAUAACAACAAAGAAAAAGUUAAUAUCAAAAGUUGAUCUCACUAAGGUAAGAAGUGGAAAAGUUCCUGUGGCCACUAAAGUUACAAAAUCAGGAGAAGUUGGCUGCAAAGACAAACCAGAAGAUAUCUAGGGUUUUUUGGUUUACAUCUAGACAAAUGGUUUUUUUAGACCUUUGAAAAUUUUAUUAAAAGUUAUUUAAGUUUUGAUCAAAUAAAAUAAUUCAUUUGGCCCUUUAAAUUUUUAAAAAUGGCACAAAAAAGUCUAAAAUCUAACGCCGUUAAAUCUUCAUCAACAAAAG